UGAUAGUCAUGUGUGCUUUUUACCACUGGCAUUGAUACUGUUGACUCACAUACAGCAUGUCAGCCCUGGAGGUUCAGAUCCUAUUCAUCACAGCUGACAGCUAAACAUUCCCCAACUUCUCUGUACGCUUGUUGCUCUGCAUCUACAUCUUGCACGUCUUUACUGAAUUGCAGUCUCCUUUUUCAGAUUUAUUUCCUGUUUGUCAAGAUCACUUUGAAUUAUAGCCCUCCUGCCCAAAAUGCUUGCAGUUCCUCACAGGCUGGUGUAACUGCCAGUUUAAAAAGCUUCCUCUUUACUUCAUAACCACUUCAAGAACAAAUGCAUCUAAUGGUAUCAGCCCCAGGGCAGACGCCUGCAGAUGUCACAUUGGUAGUGAAUUAAUGAUAGCUACUUCUAAAUAGGUUUUCUAACAGUUUUGUACCUUCAGUGUGCAUAUUUCCUCUAGAGUAGGUAACAUUUGUGUAAGCAAACUAGGGAUAUGUGAAAAAGUGUCCAAAACUCUACAAAAGAUGGAUACAUAUGGCAUCUGCUGCCUCUUCCUUAUGCACAGUGUUACCCUCUCAAAGCAUGUUACUCUUUUCACAGAAACUAUGAUCUGACCCAAUUUAUUUUCAGCACAACUAUGAUGAAUGCUACUUCAGUCAAGCAGUUGUUUGAUUAUUCAUUCCCUGAUUUGUUUUUCUUUUUUAACAGGAGUUGCUGCUAAACCGAUGGUUAGGUAAUUUCCAAACACUUUUAAUCUUUUCCCUAUGCUUCUCUAGUUGUCCUUGCUCAGCCUUGAAGUUCCUAGAGAUGGUUCAAAGGACGAUCACAGCAGCAGAACUGCAGAGGAGUUACAAGGUAGAUAAGAAAGCAGUUCCCUUCAACCACAGGAGCACCUGCAGGAGAAGCUUGGACUGAGCUCUGAAGAAGAAAGCAGAAGAACCACAGUCACUGAAAGUGUUUUACACAGGAAUCCAGGCUGGAGUGAAUAAGCCUAUCAGGCUGGCACAGAGGAUUAGCAUGGUUGUCACAGGGUAGAAGAGAUGGUUGAACAAUGUCAACAUGAACAGCACAUCAGUCUUGCUGCCUCCUAAAUUGCCACAUAAUCAAUAUUCUCCCAGACUUAUCUUCCUUUUCUGAUGGCCAUUUAAGGCAGCACUGUCUGCUCAGCUCAGAUGUCUGCUGCUUCCCUUUGGUGUCUUUAACAAGGAGCAUCAGGAUCAUUUUCUCUGGAUAAUUGAACUCAUCUCUUACUGUACCUACUUGUGGUGAAUGUGUGAAUGGCAUGCUUUUUUGUGAUUGAGCAGCAAGAGAAAUGAAGUGGGAUGGCAACACUGCCCUGUAGUGGCUACAGGUCUGUGAAAUUUCAUCUUUACCCUGUUUCACUCCUUUCCUUUCUUCAAAGAGGAAGCACAGGUGAAAGAUGCUGACAGGCAAUUGUCCAUAUGAGUGCAUCUGUGUGCAGGAAUUUCUUGCAACAGUAUAAGUCCUUUGAAACAGUGGCCAAAUAUAAUCAGUCUGAAGACAGGAUGGGCAUUAUUUAAACAAGAUAUGAAAAGAUGGAAGGCAUGGAUAUUAAGGAUGGAGGGCAACACAGCAAAACAAGUAGCUGCUCUGAGUGGAGGCUCAGCAAAGCAGCAAAAGAGACUGGGCUUGUGAGACACUUGUUUCGCAAACAAAUUCUUUUAGUUCAACUUAAAAACAAGGAAGGAAGAUGUACUGAAGACCAGUCACACCUUAGCAAACAUUCGAGUGGCAUUGAUGGCAGUGACAUAACUGCUGAGCUGAAAAGGUUGGGCUCAGUAUCCUCAUGAACCUGAUGGACUGGUUUGGACAAACAGGCAAAACCUGAGAAUGAACCAGGGCCAGGGAACUCUGGCUGGGUGAAUAUUAUCUCCCACACUGAGUAAAUGCUCAGAGACAUCUAAUAAACUUAAGCAGGGUGUUUGUAGAUGGAAUAAAACCAGCAUUCUAUUAGUUUAUUUUCUUCCUGUAAAUGCUCUGUUUUUGAUUUUAGAUAUUAACAGUAUUCAAGCAAAGCUGAACAAUAAGACUGUCAAAUUUCCAUGUUCACCUCUUUCAUACUUCCCAAAACCAGAGGGAAAGAGCACAACCCAGCAGACUUGGUGGUUAAGUGCAGUGGACAGGCCCUGUGGACUAACCUUAAGCUGUACAGUAACUACAAAUUCCAGCUCUGGUAGAGGCAUAAGACUGAAGAGGAGAGAGGCUCUCGUAGCAACACUGGCCAAAGUCAGCAGGAAAAGCUACAUCUGUGUCAGAUGACUUAAAUUAAUGAGUUCUGUUGCUGUUAUAUAUUAAAGAGGAUCGUGUACUUAAAAAUUAUUUAAAUGCCCGUCCAAAAACCAACAUUCUCUUGGUGGCACUCUGCAGCAGGACUUGUUUCUGAAAACACCCAGAAUGCCUAGGGAUCUUGAUUUGACUCUGAAUUCAAUGUAAAUUGUCUUAGGAUAAUAAAAAAUUACCUAAAGAUAUUGAAUAAACUUAGGAUUCCCUGCACUA
Long non-coding RNA from Parus major (Great Tit), 2502 nucleotides. RefSeq lists it as uncharacterized. The record is from RefSeq and is a predicted model, not a curated record. The transcript has 3 exons. Lineage: Eukaryota; Metazoa; Chordata; Aves; Passeriformes; Paridae.